GUGAAUCAUCGAAUCUUUGAACGCAAAUUGCGCUUCCUGGCAUCCCGGGGAGUAUGCCUGUUUGAGGCUCAGUAUUAACAAAAAAGCGGUUGGGUUGCAAAUUGUGACGUUGCCGGAGUUUGUACUAUCUUACCUUUUUUGGUUAAGGGGCUUAAAAUUGACCUUAUUGGCGCAUUUUUAGACGUACAUAAAUUUUUUUUUUAUUGGUCUAUUCUUAAUGCUUAAAUCUUAUUAACU
Molecule: unclassified non-coding RNA, 237 nt
Filed under: Glomeraceae sp.
Lineage: Eukaryota; Fungi; Glomeromycota; Glomeromycetes; Glomerales; Glomeraceae
Description: partial contains 5.8S ribosomal RNA and internal transcribed spacer 2
Rfam family: 5.8S ribosomal RNA (bases 1-71)
Source: RNAcentral